This 483-nucleotide ribosomal RNA is filed under the name uncultured bacterium. RNAcentral's name for it is "partial 16S ribosomal RNA". It matches the Rfam family "Bacterial small subunit ribosomal RNA", at positions 28 to 507 of the family's 1533-position model. The record is from RNAcentral.
GACGAACGCUGGCGGCGUGCUUAACACAUGCAAGUCGAACGCUGAAGCCCAGCUUUUGUUGGGUGGAUGAGUGGCGAACGGGUGAGUAACACGUGAGUAACCUGCCCCCUUCUUUGGGAUAACGCCCGGAAACGGGUGCUAAUACUGGAUAUUCACUGGUCUUCGCAUGGGGGUUGGUGGAAAGGGUUUUUCUGGUGGGGGAUGGGCUCGCGGCCUAUCAGCUUGUUGGUGGGGUGAUGGCCUACGAAGGCUUUGACGGGUAGCCGGCCUGAGAGGGUGACCGGGCAGGUGGGGAGUGAGAUACGGCCCAGACUACUACGGGAGGCAGCAGUGGGGAAUAUUGCACAAUGGGCGCAAGCCUGAUGCAGCGACGCAGCGUGAGGGAUGGAGGCCUUCGGGUUGGGAACCUCUUUCGCUCAUGGUCAAGCCGCAACAAUGGUUGUGGUGAGGGUAGUGGGUAAAGAAGCGCCGGCUAACUACGUG